UUGGAGGGCAAGUCUGGUGCCAGCAGCCGCGGUAAUUCCAGCUCCAAUAGCGUAUAUUAAAGUUGUUGCAGUUAAAAAGCUCGUAGUUGGAUUUCUGAGAUUAACUAUCGGUCCGUAGCAUUUUUGUUAUGUGUACUGUUUUUGCUUAAUCUCAUCCUUGUAGUAAUUGCAUCUGGCAUUUGGUUGUCGGGUGUAGGAGCUGCAUCGUUUACUGUGAAAAAAUUAGAGUGUUUAAAGCAGGCUUAUGCCGUGAAUACAUUAGCAUGGAAUGAUAUUAUAGGACUUUGGUACUAUUUUAUUGGUUUGCAUAUCAAAGUAAUGAUUAAUAGGGAUAGUUGGGGGUAUUCAUAUUUAAUUGUCAGAGGUGAAAUUCUUGGGUUGUCGCAAGACUAACUACUGCGAAAGCAUUAAAUAAAGAUGUUUUCAUUAAUCAGUGAACGAAAGUUAGGGGAUCGAAGACGAUCAGAUACCGUCGCAGUCUUAACCAUAAACUAUGCCGACUAGGGAUCGGGCGAUGUUAUCUUUUUGACUCGUUCGGCGCCUUACGGGAAAC
This 553-nucleotide ribosomal RNA is filed under the name uncultured eukaryote. RNAcentral's name for it is "bacterial SSU rRNA". It matches the Rfam family "Eukaryotic small subunit ribosomal RNA", at positions 548 to 1098 of the family's 1831-position model. The record is from RNAcentral.